RNAcentral lists this ribosomal RNA (493 nucleotides) under uncultured bacterium. RNAcentral's name for it is "bacterial SSU rRNA". It matches the Rfam family "Bacterial small subunit ribosomal RNA", at positions 903 to 1397 of the family's 1533-position model. The record is from RNAcentral.
AAAGGAAUUGACGGGGGCCCGCACAAGCAGCGGAGCAUGUGGUUUAAUUCGAAGCAACGCGAAGAACCUUACCAAGGCUUGACAUCCCGCGCAAUCCGUGGAAACACGGAGUCCCUUCGGGGCGCGGAGACAGGUGGUGCAUGGUUGUCGUCAGCUCGUGUCGUGAGAUGUUGGGUUAAGUCCCGCAACGAGCGCAACCCCUACACUCAGUUACCAGCGGGUAAAGCCGGGGACUCUGGGAGGACUGCCGGGGACAACUCGGAGGAAGGUGGGGACGACGUCAAAUCAUCAUGCCCCUUAUGUCUUGGGCUACACACGUGCUACAAUGGCCGCAACAGAGGGAAGCGAGGGGGUAACCCGGAGCGGAUCCCAGAAAAGCGGUCCCAGUUCGGAUUGUGGGCUGCAACCCGCCCACAUGAAGUCGGAGUUGCUAGUAAUCGCGAAUCAGCAUGUCGCGGUGAAUGCGUUCCCGGGCCUUGUACACACCGCCCGU